This 797-nucleotide long non-coding RNA is filed under the name Monodelphis domestica (gray short-tailed opossum). Its description in RNAcentral is "lncRNA (ENSMODG00000037741.1)". The record is from RNAcentral. Lineage: Eukaryota; Metazoa; Chordata; Mammalia; Didelphimorphia; Didelphidae.
AGGAAAUAGAAUCCUUAAAUGAUCCUAUAUCAAAAAAAGAAAUUGAACAAACAAUGAACUCCCUAAGAAAAAAAUCCCCAGGGCUAGAUGGAUUCACAAGUGAAUUUUAUCAAACAUUUAAAGAACAAUUAAUCCUAAUACUACAUGAAUUAUUAGGGGAACGAGGCAGAGAAGGAAUCCUACCAAAUUCUUUUAAUUAAAUGAAUAUCCAAGCCAGGAAGUACAAGAACAGAGAAAGAAAAUUAUAGGUCAAUUUCAUUAAUGAAUAUAGAUGCAAAAAUUUUAAAUAAGAUACUAAGAAGUAGAAUACAGCAAUAUAUCUCAAGGAUCAUUCAUUACGACCAGGUAGGAUUUAUACCAGGAAUGCAUUUGGUUUAAUGGUUUAAUAUUAGGAAAAAUAUCAACCUAAUUGACCACUUCAAUAACCAGACUAACAGAAAUCACAUGAUUAUCUCAGUAGAUUCAGAAAAAGCCUUUGACAAAAUACGACACCCGUUCCUAUUAAAGACACUAGAAAGCAUGGAAAUAAAUGGGUUAUUCCUUAAAAUGCACUUUUAUUUCUGCUGAGCACUGGCUGCCUGCCUUGAGCAGCAAUGAGAGGCACACAGCCAACCUCUCUACUCUCCCCAUCUUGAACCUGAUGACGGUGCAAAGCAAGAAGAACAGGAGAAUCACAGAGACAGAACAAAGCAGAAAUACCACCUCUGAGGAGGCCAAAUUAAAGAGGUUAUAUUCGUAUCUUAAUGUAUAUUGUAAAGGGAAUGAAUGAAUGAAUAAAUGAAUGGUUACUUUGGCCA